RNAcentral lists this ribosomal RNA (428 nucleotides) under Piloctenus haematostoma. Its description in RNAcentral is "partial 16S ribosomal RNA". Lineage: Eukaryota; Metazoa; Arthropoda; Arachnida; Araneae; Ctenidae. The record is from RNAcentral.
UUCUAUUAGAAUUAAUUAAUAGUAUAAUCUGCUCAAUGAUUUAAAUAGCCGCAAUUCGUGCUAAGGUAGUAUAAUAAUUCGUCUUUUAAUUAAAGACCAAACGAAAGAUUUAACAUUUUAAAUUCUAUCUAAUUUUUAAAUUUUAAAAUUACUUUAAGUAUAACAAAAUACUUAUUCUACAAAAAGACGACAAGACCCUAUUAAACUUAACUUUAGUUAAACUGGGGAAGUUAAUAAAUUAUUAUUUUAAUAAUUAUAUUUUUACAUUAAUCUAUUAAAACUAAUAGUAAACCAAGUUACUAUAGGGAUAACAGCGUAAUAAUAUUUUAAAGUUCUUAUUGAAAAUAAAGAUUGCGACCUCGAUGUUGAUUUAAUUACCUAUUUGGCGCAAAAGUUAAAUAAGUAAGUCUGUUCGACUUAUAAAAAUU